UUCCGGUUGAUCCAGCCAUACCCUACUGCUAUCGGGGUGGGACUAAGCAAUGCAAGUCGAGUGCCUCAAGCUAUGGUGAGGCGCGGCAAACGGCUCAGUAACACGUGGCUAACCUGCCCUUAGGACGGGGGACAACCCCGGGAAACUGGGGCUAAUCCCCGAUAGGCGAAGAGGCCUGGAAUGGUUCUUCGCCGAAAGGGCGUUGGGGGCAUGCUUCCCAACGUUGCCUAAGGAUGGGGCCGCGGCCGAUCAGGUUGUUGGUGAGGUAACGGCCCACCAAGCCUUUAACCGGUACGGGCCAUGAGAGUGGGAGCCCGGAGAUGGGCACUGAGACAAGGGCCCAGGUCCUACGGGGUGCAGCAUGCGCGAAACCUCCGCAAUGUGCGAAAGCGUGACGGGGUUACCCCGAGUGCCGUCCGCUGAGGAUGGCUUUUCUCUGGUGUAAGGAGCCAGAGGAAUAAGGGGAGGGCAAGUCUGGUGUCAGCCGCCGCGGUAAUACCAGCUCCCCGAGUGGUAGGGACGAUUAUUGAGCUUAAAGCGUCCGUAGCCGGCUUGGCAAGUCUUCCGUUAAAUCCAGCGACUCAAUCGCUGGACCGCGAAAGAUACUGCCAGGCUAGGGGGCGGGAGAGGCCGACGGUAUUCCCGGAGUAGGAGUGAAAUCCUAUCAUCCCGGGAGGACCACCAGUGGCGAAGGCGGUCGACUAGAACGCGCUCGACGGUGAGGGACGAAAGCUGGGGGAGCGAACCGGAUUAGAUACCCGGGUAGUCCCAGCUGUAAACGAUGCGGGCUGGGUGUCAAAGCGGCCACGAGCCGCUUUGGUGCCGCAGGGAAACCGUUAAGCCCGCCGCUUGGGAAGUACGGUCGCAAGGCUGAAACUUAAAGGAAUGGGCGGGGGAAGACU
Molecule: ribosomal RNA, 902 nt
Filed under: uncultured archaeon Arc.212
Lineage: Archaea
Description: bacterial SSU rRNA
Rfam family: Archaeal small subunit ribosomal RNA
Source: RNAcentral